RNAcentral lists this long non-coding RNA (2479 nucleotides) under Homo sapiens (human). RNAcentral describes it as "HSALNT0324451". Lineage: Eukaryota; Metazoa; Chordata; Mammalia; Primates; Hominidae. The record is from RNAcentral.
GUUUCCAAUGCCUGUUGAGGAAGCUUGGCCCCUCACUCACUCAGGUGCAGCUUUCAAAGACAGCUAUGAGGGGGAAUUCUCUCAGUGUGCAGGGCUUCACGCACUACACUUGGUCAUCAAAUUCAUGUUGAAAGAGAUGCAGCCUCAGCCUCAGUUUGGAAUAUACACAGACGGGUAGGUGCUGAAGGGCACAGACAGAUCAUCAGAGGCCUAGUGGGAGAGAAAUUAGGAGAUCAUAGACAAGGAUAUCUGGAGUAGUGUUGUGUAGAUGACACUAUGGGAGAAGACACAAUGUGGGAAGAUCUUUCAGUUGCAGGUUAACACCUACCAGAAAUCAUCUAUUUUGGAAGAGGCACUAGACAGCCAAGUAGAUGGACUGACUCAGCCACUUGAUGCCAGCCAGUUUCUGUCAUUGGCCAUUCCAGUGCUGCUGAAAUGAACACAUGAAAAGAGUAGCUUUAGUGUCAGAGAUGUUAGGUUAUGCUCGGGCCCAACAGCAUGGGCUCCCAUUCAUCAAAGCUGGUCUAGCUCCAGGUGCUGCCGAACAGCAAACUUGCCAGUAACAAAGAUGACAUCUUCAUCCCCAAUAUUGCAUCAUUUCUUCAGGAGAUCAUCCCAUCACUAAGCGGCAAGUUCACCACAGUCUACUUCUUUCAUCUUGCCAGGGUCAGUGGUUCAUUUUUGACAGUAACAAAUUCUGAACAUGAAUUUGCUUUUUCUGUCCCCAUGGUUUCAGGCAACACUGUUAUCUGAAUGCUUGCAGAGUGUCAGAUCCAACAACAGCAAUUUCACUUAUAAUUAUGUCAGGCAGAGGGACAAACCUUAAAACCAAGCAGGUCCAUCAGUGGGUCCAUAAUGACAGGAUCUGCUGGUCAUAUCACAAGCCACACCACUCUAUUGCAUCAACCUGAUAGAGUGCUGAAACAGCCUGUUGAAACACAACGGAGGUGUAGGCCCAGACAUGCUUCCCUGUGAGAAUGAGACAGCACUCUCCAGGACAUAGCAUCUAUCCUGAAUCAAUGAGCAUUCGCGGGCUCUGGGUUCCCGAUAAACAGAAUACAUAGAUGAGAAACCAAAGUCUAGAAGCAAGAGUGGCCUCUGUUACCAACAUUCCCAGUGACCCACUGGAGAAUUUGUGCUUCUUGUUCCUGCAACUCUGGGGUCUGUGGGUUUAAAGAUCUUGGUUCCCAAAGGAAGAACAUUUCUGCCAUGAACACAUCAUCAUUUCCCUUGAAUCUAAGCUGUGGUAGCUUCCUGGACACAUUAAAUUUCUCAUGGCAAAGGACAAAAGGACAAGAAAAGCAGUCACCAUCCUAACAGAGGUAAUGGAUUCUGGCCCUCCUUUAUGCCCCACCUCAGGAGGAGGAGCUGCUGCUACAGGGAGGAAUAUGCUGGCAAUCUACCUUUGGAAAGUCCUUGACCAAUUGUUUCGGUAAAUGGACAAGUGUAGCGGCCCCAGCCUGAGGCAGGUAUAGUGCCCAGGGUUUCAUGCCAGUAGAUGACCCAUCCAGAAGAGCAGAGGUGAUGUCUGAGGGUGUCUGUGAACUCAAGAGAAGCCUUUCAUUCUAGACAUAGUAGUUAUUUUCUAAAUCAUCUUUAAACUUAUUUGCUGGAAUAUUGUGGGGGUAAAGUGCAAACUUCCCCUUCACCAUCUGAAGGUUUGCUAAAAAUCAACAGGCAGAAGGCGAAUUAACAGGAGAAAUGGCAUGCCAAUUUGUUUGAUCACAGUUUUACAUGAAGAAUGAAGACCCAAAGACACAUGAGAAAUUGUCCAUUUUUAUGCAACACCAGACCAGGCGAUGCUCUAAGACAGGUACAACAAAGUAUGGACAUGCGUGUAGAAAUACGAGUCAACUAAAGGGUGUGAUCUACUGCUAAUAGGCUGAGUGGGGACACCCAGACUCUUCCUGGCCCCUGUGAGCAGCUUCCUUUCCUUCUGGUGUGGGGCAGGAACUUCUCUGGAAUGGGGAUCUUCUGACCCACAGUCAAACAAGAAUUGGACAGAAGUCACAUCAGGGAGACCAGAGACUAGAGUAUUGCAUCAUAGAGGAAAGACACUGAUGACAAGACCUCAGGGGAGCAGUGGAACUGGAGGCCUGGGAGCUUGGGACGUGUUCUCCGGGUGAAGUUGGCUGGCCAGCUGAUGACCUACACCAGUGCCAUUCACUCCUCAUGUGUCCCCCGGGAAUUCAUAGUGUGUGUCAUCAGGUAAAAGCAACACUACUUUCAGAUGUUUUCUGAUCUCUUUGAGAUCUGGACAACACUACUGUGUACAUAUGGCCAGCAACAAAUUACACUCAAUGAAUAUUUUAGAGAGCAGCAAAGUAAUCAAUUAAAAUGUGGGUAAACAAAAAUCACUGUGAUCACAGCUCUGUCUACAUGGUUCUUUGGUAAAAAAUUAGAAUCCUGGGGAUUAGUCUGAGGAUAAAUAUUAUUUAAAAAGCAUUUUGGUUAAAUAGUAAUUAGUAAAUUUUGCUCU